RNAcentral lists this ribosomal RNA (440 nucleotides) under uncultured bacterium. RNAcentral's name for it is "partial 16S ribosomal RNA". It matches the Rfam family "Bacterial small subunit ribosomal RNA", at positions 338 to 795 of the family's 1533-position model. The record is from RNAcentral.
CCUACGGGAGGCAGCAGUGAGGAAUAUUGGGCAAUGGAGGCAACUCUGACCCAGCCAUGCCGCGUGAGUGAAGAAGGCUUUCGGAUUGUAAAGCUCUUUCGGAUGUGACGAUGAUGACGGUAGCAUCUAAAGAAGCCACGGCUAACUUCGUGCCAGCAGCCGCGGUAAUACGAAGGGGGCAGGCGUUGUUCGGAUUUACUGGGCGUAAAGGGAGUGUAGGCGGUUUAGUAAGAUAGUGGUGAAAUCCCAGGGCUUAACUUUGGAAUUGCCAUUAUAACUAUUAGACUAGAGUUACAGAGAGGAUAGUGGAAUACGCGGUGUAGAGGUGAAAUGCGUAGAUAUUGGGUAGAACACCAGUGGCGAAGGCGGCUAUCUGGCUGUACAUUGACGCUGAGGCUCGAAGGCAUGGGGAUCAAACAGGAUUAGAUACCCUGGUAGUC